AGGUAAUUACCGCCGGGUAACGUCUGCUUUCAUUCCGUCAGGCCAUAGCAGGAAUGGAGCCAGACGAUCUUUAUUU
RNAcentral lists this non-coding RNA (76 nucleotides) under unclassified sequences. The record is from RNAcentral.